This 608-nucleotide long non-coding RNA is filed under the name Vigna radiata. Its description in RNAcentral is "long non-coding RNA (VRAD_LNC013831)". Lineage: Eukaryota; Viridiplantae; Streptophyta; Magnoliopsida; Fabales; Fabaceae. The record is from RNAcentral.
AAGAAAAAUACGCAACCUCUUCUUGAAGGCUUAAGCGAGGGAAGGGGGAGAAGGAGAGUCAGACGCCCAUCUAGGGAUUUGUUUCCUUCCCUUGAAAGACUAUUAUCACCUUCACCAGAUAGAAGAAUAGAGGAUAUGCCUGAAAGAACUCCUCUAAGACGCACUCUUGCAGACCAAUCAAAUGCAGUUGGCCCUUUCCAUUUUAACAGCAUAGGUCAUGGGUGUCGUGGCCCAUACAAAUUUGAUUGCAUAUGAAAAAUGCAGUAUAGGUAAGAAUGACUCCUAGGUCGUCUCUCAAGGACCAAAUGUGGUUCGAGAAUCAGAUCAAACACGUAGUGGGGGGGUUGUUAAAGGUUUGUGAAUGCGGAUGAACUAAAUCAAAAGACGAAUGCAAACAGAAAUGUAAAACUGAAAUGCAGACAUAAACAUAAAAACGGAAUCAAAUACAAAAUAAAAAAAAUGGUCGGUCAUUAACUCAAUUAGUAUGCUUCCAAUCCCAGAUUAAAGACAAGUACACACUACUCUAAUCCAAAUCCAACACAAAUCACCCAACUAAGCGAAGGCUAAUUCGGUGUUCAGAAUUGCAAACUAAGCGAAUUCAAUACACA